AUGCUCGCUUCAGCAGCACACAUAUACUAAAAUUGGAACAAUACAGAAAAGAUUAGCAUGGCCCCUGUGCAAGGAUGACAUGCAAAUUCAUGAAGCAUUCCAUAUUUGA
Small nuclear RNA from Eubalaena glacialis (North Atlantic right whale), 109 nucleotides. Lineage: Eukaryota; Metazoa; Chordata; Mammalia; Artiodactyla; Balaenidae. The record is from RefSeq and is a predicted model, not a curated record.